Molecule: ribosomal RNA, 420 nt
Filed under: Fusobacteriota bacterium
Lineage: Bacteria; Fusobacteriati; Fusobacteriota
Description: Fusobacteria bacterium partial 16S ribosomal RNA
Rfam family: Bacterial small subunit ribosomal RNA
Source: RNAcentral
UGGGGGAUAUUGCACAAUGGGCGAAAGCCUGAUGCAGCGACGCCGCGUGGGGGAUGAAGGCCUUCGGGUUGUAAACUUCUUUUGCUCUGAACAAGGCAUGCCUUUGGGGUGUGUUGAGUGUAGGGGUUGAUUAGCGCCGGCUAACUACGUGCCAGCAGCCGCGGUAAUACGUAGGGCGCGAGCGUUGUCCGGAAUUAUUGGGCGUAAAGGGCUUGUAGGUGGCUGGUUGCGUCUGUCGUGAAAGCUCAUGGCUUAACUGUGGGUUUGCGGUGGGUACGGGCUGGCUUGAGUGCAGUAGGGGAGGCUGGAAUUCCUGGUGUAGCGGUGGAAUGCGCAGAUAUCAGGAGGAAUACCGGGGGCGAAGGCGGGUCUCUGGGCUGUUACUGACGCUGAGGAGCGAAAGCGUGGGGAGCGAACAGG